RNAcentral lists this ribosomal RNA (492 nucleotides) under uncultured bacterium. Its description in RNAcentral is "partial 16S ribosomal RNA". It matches the Rfam family "Bacterial small subunit ribosomal RNA", at positions 29 to 507 of the family's 1533-position model. The record is from RNAcentral.
AGUGAACGCUGGCGGUAGGCCUAACACAUGCAAGUCGAACGGCAGCACAGUAAGAGCUUGCUCUUACGGGUGGCGAGUGGCGGACGGGUGAGGAAUAUAUCGGAAUCUACUUUUUCGUGGGGGAUAACGUAGGGAAACUUACGCUAAUACCGCAUACGACCUACGGGUGAAAGCAGGGGAUCUUCGGACCUUGCGCGAUUGAAUGAGCCGAUGUCGGAUUAGCUAGUUGGCGGGGUAAAGGCCCACCAAGGCGACGAUCCGUAGCUGGUCUGAGAGGAUGAUCAGCCACACUGGAACUGAGACACGGUCCAGACUCCUACGGGAGGCAGCAGUGGGGAAUAUUGGACAAUGGGCGCAAGCCUGAUCCAGCCAUACCGCGUGGGUGAAGAAGGCCUUCGGGUUGUAAAGCCCUUUUGUUGGGAAAGAAAAGCAGCAGGUUAAUACCCCGCGGUUCUGACGGUACCCAAAGAAUAAGCACCGGCUAACUUCGUG